This is a long non-coding RNA of Anguilla rostrata (American eel), 1717 nucleotides long. RefSeq lists it as uncharacterized. Lineage: Eukaryota; Metazoa; Chordata; Actinopteri; Anguilliformes; Anguillidae. The transcript has 7 exons. The record is from RefSeq and is a predicted model, not a curated record.
AGGUACCACAAACCUUCUGACAGAAGGAAAAUGUCCCUGUGCAUUGCUGACAGCCUCAUGUUUCUGUCCGCGCUUGCUCUGGUCUGGCUGUUUUGGGCUCCAGAAAGCGGGACAAUCGAACCCUUUUGAGGUUGGUGUCAGACUGGGUCAUGUGAAGGAAGCAAACGAAUGUUCUGGAGUGGACUGCAUUCUUCUGACAAAAAAGAGAAAAUAAACGUGCAGCAGCUUCUCUCUGGCUAAUGAAUGGUCUUUGCUCCCUUUAGUCUUUGUAAUGGUCACGGAAGACGACUAGCUCUCACUGCAGACGACCCCUCGGCACAGUGGAAACCCAGCACGUUUUUAAUGAAGCUGGCCCUGUCUGUUCAUUGAGAUUAGGAGUUUAUCUCUUGGAGGUAAACCAGUCGGUUGCCAUGGUAAAACUUUACAAAUUGGAUCAAAGGAAGGACAGAAAACAGAAAGAAAUGUGGAACAAUAGCUGAAAAAAGCACUGCUGCCCACUCAAGAGUUCAGUACAAGCACACCAACCACUCUUCUUUGCUGUUAGCAGCAUGGCGAUGGUCGCUGAUGAAGGCUGGGAUACGCAUUUACGUUGAUGUCUGGUGAGCAUCCUAGUGCAAAAUGGCUGCCAUGCAUCACCCAGGUGGGUCCUGAACAUUGGUGGUGGUUGAGGCUCCUCUGCAAUGCUGCUGUCAUCACCGCCACUGACCCCCCCGCUCCUUCUGAAGGCUAUCAAGCCUGCAGUGGCCUGCUAGUAGCGUGCCAGCAGCACAGCUGCCCAUCCCCCAGAGGUUUGCAGCUACAGUCCCCGAGCAAGCAGCUGAAGCCAGGCAGUCGAGAUGGGGAUCAGCUGGGCCAGCGUUGGUGUUUACCUGGAUCGUUUCGCCAGUGUUCUGUGGCCGCAACCUUUCCGGCCUGGAGGCGCAGAAGAGCAGUCAUGGGCAGGGGCCCCCCAGCCGAGAGGCACUGCGCUCACUAUUGCCAUCAUGGCGAAAUCGGCACAGUGAAAGCACACCUCCGUGCACUGAUUCAGAAUAGUGCUUUAUUGGAUGUUACAAGGAUACCAUUUCUGUGAUGCCGCAUCUUUCAAAAUGGCUCCUUAUGCUGUAAGAGCUAACAAUUACAUUUAAUGUCCAUUUCCAGUUAGUUGCUUUGUAAAAAUGGCAACAUUAAAGCCAAGUAUUUACCCCUCCCCCUCCACCCAGUAGUCCUGUUAAGUGGAUGUUUACUCAACAUAAUUGUUAAAAAGUUCUUGCAGCACCAGUUACAAUGUCCUCUCAGCUGAGACGCAGUGUGAGCAAAUGAAGAGCGUCCUUUGACCUUGAUUAGGACACAGUACCAGCAUGUUCAUGUGAAAUAUCUCAACCUGUCUGCAGUAACCAGCGCCUUUCAAGUUUUACUGAUACUUAAACAACACACGUAAAGUUUACAAUUCUACACCAAGCGGAAAAACUGCCUUUUCUUUGUUUUCAUUAGUCGUCUUGUGUUCCAUCUGUAAGUCACGACAAAAGGAAGCCACAAAAACAGCCUCUGAUUGUAAUCAUACACUUGGAUCAUACGAGUUCUCCACAUUCACAAAACUAAGCUUAUUUCGCUUGGCAAAAUAAAGACUUGCGCUUGGAAUUUGUGCCAGUAAUGGACUGAUUCCUCUUUGUAGCGGCCACUACAGAUAUCAAUUUUCCACUUUGGACUUGUGACUUACGCAAUAUUUGAAUAUUUA